AUAAUUGUAAAAUAAAAAAAUACAUCAAGGUUUAUAAUCUCUAAAUGUACAUUUGCAUUAACACUAGUGUCUAUUCACAAACAAAAUGCACUAUGAACGACUUGACCUCUAGUAGCUGAGCGACUUGGAAUAAUGUGCUAUGAGAAGCCUUUACCUAUCACGGUGGACAAUAUGUGCCGAUGAAUGCACGCUAGGCUGAUCACUAUCUGCAAAAGGGGAGAUAAGGGGGUGAGUUUCACAAACUUAGUGAUCAUCGACUUCGUGAGUAGGGCGUAGGUGGGAAAAAAGCUUAGAGAAGAUAAUUUGAAGGAUAAAACUAUAGUAUAAAAUGCUAUCCCUAUAAAACCAAAUAACAAAUAAGGUAUUUGUGCCUUGCAAAAAUAAUGUCGUGAAAAUCAUAGUGUAAUACUUUCCUUGGCAAACAAUGUCGAAAUCAAGGCAUAGUAAAAUAGAUUUCAAUCGUCGAAAUCAUUUAUUACUUUCAUGAUUACAAAUGGCCGCAUAAAAACAUGCACGCUCCCAAACUGUGUGGCAUGUAAGAAAAUAACCGAGUACACCCACAUACAUCAAUUCAUGAUCACCAUAUAAAGCAUUGAAAGCUUUUAACUGAAAAGGGGAGCUAUGGAAAAACAAUAUCUCUCCAUCAUGCGAAAGAGUAUGAGUCUAAAAACUCUCAAGGCUCUUGAGUGUUGGUCCCAAGUAAAUGUGCUAGAGGGGGGGGGGUGAAUAGCACAAUUUGGCUCUUUCAAAAUUUGGCUCUAAGUAGAAAUAAACGCAAGAUAAAGGAAUGAAAGAAUAUAAAACAAAAACAGAGUAGACAACACACUAGAAUUUAGAGUGGCUCGGUCCAAGACCUACAUCCAUUACCUUGAUUGUUCAAUCAAGGAUUUUUCAAACAAAUCCACUAUGAACAGUGAAAUUCACAUGCUUUGUCACGACCCGAAACUCUCAUCGAGCCCUUGACAAUUGCCAUGAUGUCCCGAUAGACAUUCAUUACUCGAAAUGUCAAUCGAAACUUCGCAAGGCUUAACAUCAGUUUUCUCGCUUCCCCUGUGAGUAUUAGUUAUUAAAAUCAUGUUUUAAAGUGAUAUGAACCAAUUUCAAUUCAAAAACAGUCAAAGAGAAAUUUCAACUACACAGGGGUAUUUUGGUCAGUUUUUUCAAAAAAUUUGAAAUCAGCUAAAAUGUAGUAUAUGAGAGAAAUUUACACAUUUCAUUAGCAAAAAUAAGUUUAGAUAACUAAAACAUUAAUUUAAAGUGAAAUUAUGACUAAUGGAAUAAAAUAAAAAUAAUGAAUAAAAUAUUCUAAUUUUUCAUAAAAUAAUUUUUAUAGAAGGCUAUGUAAAUAAUUUUUACAACGUAAAAGCAAAAUAAAUUCCUAUAUACAGUAGCACACGUAGGCAGGUAUUCAAAACAUUUAACAAUGACAUGUGGGCCCCCGAAUGACUAAAAGUAAUGAAGGCUAUGAACCUACAGUUUUUGAGGAUGCAAGUCCAACUGUAGCCCUUAACGAAAUGAGCUAUCUAUCGACUAUCCUGAGC
RNAcentral lists this long non-coding RNA (1541 nucleotides) under Theobroma cacao (cacao). RNAcentral describes it as "long non-coding RNA (TCAC_LNC001726)". The record is from RNAcentral. Lineage: Eukaryota; Viridiplantae; Streptophyta; Magnoliopsida; Malvales; Malvaceae.